CAGCCGCCGCGGUAAUACCGGCGGCCCGAGUGGCGGUCACUAUUAUUGGGCUUAAAGCGUCCGUAGCCGGGUUGGGAAGUCCUCCGGGAAAUCUGGCCGCUUAACGGUCAGAAUGCCGGAGGAUACUCCCAGCCUAGGGAGCGGGAGAGGCCGAGGGUAUUCCCGGAGUAGGGGUGAAAUCCUAUAAUCCCGGGAGGACCACCUGUGGCGAAGGCGCUCGGCUGGAACGCGUCCGACGGUGAGGGACGAAGGCCAGGGGAGCAAACCGGAUUAGAUACCCGGGUAGUCCUGGCUGUAAACGAUGCGGACUUUGUGUCGGACAAGCUAUGAGCUUGUCCGGUGCCGGAGGGAAACCGUUAAGUCCGCCGCCUGGGGAGUACGGCCGCAAGGCUGAAACUUAAAGGAAUUGCGGG
Molecule: ribosomal RNA, 413 nt
Filed under: uncultured microorganism
Description: bacterial SSU rRNA
Rfam family: Archaeal small subunit ribosomal RNA
Source: RNAcentral